RNAcentral lists this ribosomal RNA (119 nucleotides) under Trichobilharzia regenti. The record is from RNAcentral. Lineage: Eukaryota; Metazoa; Platyhelminthes; Trematoda; Strigeidida; Schistosomatidae.
GUUGGCGACUAUACCGCGUUAAACACAAAGGUUCUCGUCAGAGCAUCGAAGUUAAGCAACGUUGGGACCGGUUAUUACUUGCGUGGGUGACCGGCUGGGAAUACCGGGUGUUGCCGGCU